RNAcentral lists this long non-coding RNA (1086 nucleotides) under Numida meleagris (helmeted guineafowl). RNAcentral's name for it is "lncRNA (ENSNMEG00000003369.1)". The record is from RNAcentral. Lineage: Eukaryota; Metazoa; Chordata; Aves; Galliformes; Numididae.
AUGGCCUGCCUCUUCUGGCCAGUGUACCUACAGAAUCCCUUCUUGUUAUUUUUUAACAUCUCUCACCAAGUUCAGUUCCAUCUGUGCCUUGGCUUUUUUAAUCCCCUCUGUACAAAUCCAGACAGCAUGUCUGUUCUCUCCCCAAGUGGCACGCCCUUGUUUCCACAACUGGUACAAUCUCUUCUUUUCCCUCAGACUGACCUGCAGGUCCUUCCCAAGCCAUGUUGGUUUCCUGCCUCCCCUGCUCGCUUUCUUAUUCUGAGGGACAGAGAGCUCUUGUGCUCUCAGAAAGGCAUCCCUGAAGAGGAGCCGGCUUUCUUCCACUUCUUUGUCUCUAAGGACAGCUUCCCAGGAGAUCUCAUCCAACAAUUCCUUAAACAGCCUGAAGCUUACACUCCCAAAGUUCAGGGUCCUGACCCAACUCUUUGCCAGGCCCACGUUCCUCGAGAUCACAAACUCAGUCAGGGCAUAGUCACUGCAGCCUAUGUUGCCUCCAGUCUUAAUGCCUUUAACGAUCUUCUCUGCAUUGGUGAGCGCCAGAUCCAACAGCACUUCACCUCUGGUUGGUUUAUCCAAUACUUGAACCAGAAAGUUAUCAUCCACGCAUUCCAGGAGGUUCCUGGAUCUCUUGUGGCUUGCUGUGUGGUUUUCCCAGCAGAUAUCCAGGUGAAGUUCAACAAAUGCAAAGUUCUGCACCUGGACUGGAGCAAUCCCAAGCAUGAAUUCAGGCUGGAUGAUAAAGGGAUUGAGAGAAGCCCUGAGAAGAAGGACUUGGGGAUUCUGGUGGACAAAGAAUUAAACAUGAUCCCAGAGACAUGCACUUGCAUUUCAGAAAGCCAACUAUAUCCUGUACUGCAUAAAAAGAGGUAUAACCUUCAGGUCAAGGGAGGUGAUAUUCCCCCUCUGAUCUGCCCUCAUGAGAUCUCAUCUGGAGCACUGCACUCAGCUCUGAGGCCCCAGCACAAGAAAGACAUGGACCUGUUAGAGCAGAUCUGUAAGACAUCCAUAAAGUUGAUUGUGAGCCAACAUAAUAAAAUAGAAGACAUUAGUUUUGGAGCAGCCCUUGUAGAUUUGUUGUACUGCUAG